Molecule: ribosomal RNA, 333 nt
Filed under: uncultured eukaryote
Lineage: Eukaryota
Description: partial 18S ribosomal RNA
Rfam family: Eukaryotic small subunit ribosomal RNA
Source: RNAcentral
CCCUUAGAUGUCCUGGGCCGCACGCGUUCUACAAUGACUUGUUCAGAAAGUUCUAUCCUGGUCCGGUAGGAUUUCGGGUAAUCUUUUUAAUGCAAGUCGUAUUAGGGAUCGAUCUUUGUAAUUAUAGAUCUUGAACGAGGAAUUCCUAGUAAGUACAAGUCAUCAGCUUGCGUUGAUUACGUCCCUGCCCUUUGUACACACCGCCCGUCGCUACUACCGAUUGAAUGGUUCAGUGAGAUAAUCGGAUAGGUAACUCGGUGAGCAGCAAUGUUUACCAAGCAUACAUAGAAGACGAUCAAACUCAGUCAUUUAGAGGAAGUAAAAGUCGUAACA